Molecule: ribosomal RNA, 506 nt
Filed under: uncultured bacterium
Lineage: Bacteria
Description: partial 16S ribosomal RNA
Rfam family: Bacterial small subunit ribosomal RNA
Source: RNAcentral
AGUGAACGCUGGCGGUAGGCCUAACACAUGCAAGUCGAACGGCAGCACAGGAGAGCUUGCUCUCUGGGUGGCGAGUGGCGGACGUGUGAGGAAUACAUCGGAAUCUACUUUUUCGUGGGGGAUAACGUAGGGAAACUUACGCUAAUACCGCAUACGACCUACGGGUGAAAGCAGGGGAUCUUCGGACCUUGCGCGAUUGAAUGAGCCGAUGUCGGAUUAGCUAGUUGGCGGGGUAAAGGCCCACCAAGGCGACGAUCCGUAGCUGGUCUGAGAGGAUGAUCAGCCACACUGGAACAGAGACACGGUCCAGACUCCUACGGGAGGAAGCAGUGGGGAAUAUUGGACAAUGGGCGCAAGCCUGAUCCAGCCAUACCGCGUGGGUGAAGAAGGCCUUCGGGUUGUAAAGCCCUUUUGUUGGGAAAGAAAUCCAGCUGGUUAAUACCCGGUUGGGAUGACGGUACCCAAAGAAUAAGCACCGGCUAACUUCGUGCCAGCCGCCGCAGUAA